GCAAUCUCCCAACUCAUCUCUGCUCAUCUCUGCCCCAGAAUCCCCACCUCUGAUUGUUUAAGGUCCGGUUCCAUAACUGGAGUUAACCGAAGUUUAACUAGUUUACACCGGAUUUAAACCUGCUGUCAACCUUUAAACUUCGGUUAACUUGAGUUAUGAAACCAGGCCUAAGUCACGUUUAAUUCGGCGUGGUGGCGCCGAGAUUAAACAUACUUUCGCGUCCUCACAUUUAAAUCAAAUAAUGGGCUCUUAUGGUGUUAUGUAUAUACUUACAUGCGUUUAAAUUCAUCGCCGCAGUUAUUUCCUGCUGUUUCCGAACAAACCUCUUAACUCUCGUCUUUGAUAAACACGGAAUUUCAAGGUUGUGGAUGCGUCAUCGAACGUAUAUCGGUAAUAAUUAACAGGAUUGGACAGGAUUGAGAAACCGUAACCGAAUCGGCUCGAAACGUAGGAGUGUUUACAGAUUUUCUAAUAUUACAUUGCUGGGUGGAGGAUAAGAAAAACAUACACACGAACGAUUUCUCCAUACGUGUUUGUUAUAUUUUUUAGUGAUCUGCAGAAAAUGACCAUACUUAUUUAAUCUAUCGUCCUUAAAAAUAUACGAUCACAGUGCUGUGAUCUUAGUCAUAAAUAUUUUUUUAAUUCGGUAUAAGUUCAAAAGAAGCAGUUGUUCCAUGUUUCAGAAAUAUAUGAAAGAGUAGAUAUGAAA
Orussus abietinus is the source of this 709-nucleotide long non-coding RNA. RefSeq lists it as uncharacterized. The transcript is spliced from 2 exons. The record is from RefSeq and is a predicted model, not a curated record. NCBI's taxonomy places the organism in Eukaryota, Metazoa, Arthropoda, Insecta, Hymenoptera, Orussidae.